GAUGAACGCUGGCGGCGUGCCUAACACAUGCAAGUCGAGCGAUUUACUUCGGUAAAGAGCGGCGGACGGGUGAGUAACGCGUGGGUAACCUGCCCUGUACACACGGAUAACAUACCGAAAGGUAUGCUAAUACGGGAUAAUAUGCUUUAGUCGCAUGGCUAAAGUAUCAAAGCUCCGGCGGUACAGGAUGGACCCGCGUCUGAUUAGCUAGUUGGUAAGGUAACGGCUUACCAAGGCGACGAUCAGUAGCCGACCUGAGAGGGUGAUCGGCCACAUUGGAACUGAGACACGGUCCAAACUCCUACGGGAGGCAGCAGUGGGGAAUAUUGCACAAUGGGCGAAAGCCUGAUGCAGCAACGCCGCGUGAGCGAUGAGGCCUUCGGGUCGUAAAGCUCUGUCUUCAAGGAAGAUAAUGACGGUACUUGAGGAGGAAGCCCCGGCUAACUACGUGCCAGCCGCCGCCGUAA
RNAcentral lists this ribosomal RNA (467 nucleotides) under uncultured bacterium. Its description in RNAcentral is "partial 16S ribosomal RNA". It matches the Rfam family "Bacterial small subunit ribosomal RNA", at positions 28 to 523 of the family's 1533-position model. The record is from RNAcentral.